RNAcentral lists this ribosomal RNA (253 nucleotides) under uncultured bacterium. RNAcentral's name for it is "partial 16S ribosomal RNA". It matches the Rfam family "Bacterial small subunit ribosomal RNA", at positions 524 to 776 of the family's 1533-position model. The record is from RNAcentral.
UACGGGGGGGGCAAGCGUUGUUCGGAAUUACUGGGCGUAAAGGGCUCGUAGGCGGCCAACUAAGUCAGACGUGAAAUCCCUCGGCUUAACCGGGGAACUGCGUCUGAUACUGGAUGGCUUGAGUUUGGGAGAGGGAUGCGGAAUUCCAGGUGUAGCGGUGAAAUGCGUAGAUAUCUGGAGGAACACCGGUGGCGAAGGCGGCAUCCUGGACCAUAACUGACGCUGAUCCGCGAAAGCUAGGGGAGCAAACGGG